GAAAGACAAAGGCCUGCGUCAUCUGAGCUGCCACGGGCCCAGCAUCUACAUAGGAGGCUCAGUUUCCCGGCCAGCUCUAUGCUGGUGUCCAUGCAUCCUUCAUUCCUUCACGCAACAAGGACCCCAGGACGCCGGGCUCUGGCGUCCCACGGAAAGAAGACAAUGAGGGAGCUUGGGUGAUGGAAGAUGAGGGCAUUCUCUUCUCAUGACUCUACUUUCUCAGGGACGUAUGAGGCCAGGUCUUAGGAGCAGAAAAUGUACAAGAUGAGCCUGAUGUUGUCAUACCAGAAGGCAAAGAACCCCUCAAAGACCAGUGGGGUCCGGUCAAUAGGACCUCGGAGCCAACUCAAAGAUGCUCCCGUUGGCCAAAGAGGGAAUAUUUUGAGCAUCAAUAAGGAUAAGACUGCAGUGGACUGGAACACAUCGUCUGUAUAAACUCAAAUAUGAGUUCAUGAUGUAAGUGAAAAAAACUAAUUGUCACCAUUGGAGAAUGUUAA
This is a long non-coding RNA of Hippopotamus amphibius kiboko, 497 nucleotides long. RefSeq lists it as uncharacterized. The transcript is spliced from 3 exons. Lineage: Eukaryota; Metazoa; Chordata; Mammalia; Artiodactyla; Hippopotamidae. The record is from RefSeq and is a predicted model, not a curated record.